Molecule: ribosomal RNA, 253 nt
Filed under: uncultured bacterium
Lineage: Bacteria
Description: partial 16S ribosomal RNA
Rfam family: Bacterial small subunit ribosomal RNA
Source: RNAcentral
GACGUAGGGUGCUAGCGUUGUCCGGAUUUAUUGGGCGUAAAGAGCGUGUAGGCGGCCAUACAGGUCAGCUGUGAAAACUCGAGGCUCAACCUCGAGACGUCGGUUGAAACCGUAUGGCUAGAGUCCGGAAGAGGAGAGUGGAAUUCCCGGUGUAGCGGUGAAAUGCGCAGAUAUCGGGAAGAACACCCGUGGCGAAGGCGGCUCUCUGGGCGGGUACUGACGCUGAGACGCGAAAGCGUGGGGAGCGAACAGG